AUCGAAUUGUGACUACAACAUUAGACAAAACUGAAUAACACAUUAUACACACUCACAUCUUUUAUACAUGGACGACAUUAAGCUGUGCAUCUACACAAUUACAACAGCUGUUACAAAUCACGCACACCUUUUCAAAAAACAUCGGCAUGGAGUUUGGCCUAGACAAAUGCAUAACAAUUCACACAAAAAAGGGAGUCCUAAAGAAAGGAGACUCCACUCUUGAAAAUGGAGAUACUAUCGAAUCCACGGAAGAGGGUGAAGUGAACAAGUAUUUGGGAUUCCAGCAGGCCAGACUCAUAGAACAAAAGAAAACUAAACAUAAACACUGUCAAAAGUGUACACCAGCAGAUUAAAUAACAUUCUCAAAACACAUCUGAAUAGAAAAAAGCACAGUGAAAGCCAUCAACACAUUCACCAUACCAGUACUGACUUACUCCUUUGGAUUGAUACAGUGGACACAGACACAGAACUGCAAUCACUCCAAAGAAAAACAUGAA
This 497-nucleotide long non-coding RNA is filed under the name Androctonus crassicauda. Lineage: Eukaryota; Metazoa; Arthropoda; Arachnida; Scorpiones; Buthidae. The record is from RNAcentral.